This 404-nucleotide ribosomal RNA is filed under the name uncultured bacterium. RNAcentral describes it as "bacterial SSU rRNA". It matches the Rfam family "Bacterial small subunit ribosomal RNA", at positions 28 to 420 of the family's 1533-position model. The record is from RNAcentral.
GAUGAACGCUAGCUACAGGCUUAACACAUGCAAGUCGAGGGGAAACGAUAUUGGAAGCUUGCUUCCGAUAGGCGUCGACCGGCGCACGGGUGAGUAACGCGUAUCCAACCUGCCCACCACUUGGGGAUAACCUUGCGAAAGUAAGACUAAUACCCAAUGACGUCUCUAGAAGACAUCUGAAAGAGAUUAAAGAUUUAUCGGUGAUGGAUGGGGAUGCGUCUGAUUAGCUUGUUGGCGGGGUAACGGCCCACCAAGGCGACGAUCAGUAGGGGUUCUGAGAGGAAGGUCCCCCACAUUGGAACUGAGACACGGUCCAAAACUCCUACGGGAGGCAGCAGUGAGGAAUAUUGGUCAAUGGGCGAGAGCCUGAACCAGCCAAGUAGCGUGCAGGAUGACGGCCCUAU